GCGGAGGAAAAGAAACCAACAGGGAUUGCCUCAGUACGGCGAGUGAAGCGGCAAAAGCUCCAAAUUUGAAACCCUCGGGAUUGUAAUUUGAAGAUUUGGYAUUGGAGAAAGCUAACCCAAGUUGCUUGGAAUAGUACGUCAUAGAGGGUGACAACCCCGUCUGGCUAACCGUUCUCCAUGUAUUGCCUUAUCAAAGAGUCGAGUUGUUUGGGAAUGCAGCUCAAAGUGGGUGGUAAACUCCAUCUAAAGCUAAAUACUGGUGAGAGACCGAUAGCGAACAAGUACUGUGAAGGAAAGGUGAAAAGAACUUUGAAAAGAGAGUGAAAUAGUAUGUGAAAUUGUUGAUAGGGAAGGAAAUGAGUGGAGAGUGGCCGAGGUUUCAGCCGCCCCUCGUGGGCGGUGUACUGCCGACGCCGAGUCAUCGAUAGCGAGACGAGGGUUACAAAUGGGAGCGCCUUUCGGGCGUUCUCCCCUAACCCUCCACACUGCCACCGACGACAUAAUCCACCCAUUUCACCC
This 519-nucleotide ribosomal RNA is filed under the name Yarrowia lipolytica. RNAcentral describes it as "eukaryotic LSU rRNA". It matches the Rfam family "Eukaryotic large subunit ribosomal RNA", at positions 50 to 650 of the family's 3401-position model. The record is from RNAcentral. Lineage: Eukaryota; Fungi; Ascomycota; Dipodascomycetes; Dipodascales.